Molecule: long non-coding RNA, 137 nt
Organism: Juglans microcarpa x Juglans regia
Lineage: Eukaryota; Viridiplantae; Streptophyta; Magnoliopsida; Fagales; Juglandaceae
Exons: 4
Source: RefSeq, a predicted model, not a curated record
AAUCUGAAAAAUUGGGAGAAAUCUGCAACAUAUUUUUUUUUUUUUAGGUAAUCAUAGAAAUUUUAUUAAUAGAAAAGCCCAAGUACAUAUGUAGUAUACAUGAGAAAGAAUCUAGUUAGGGUUUACAAUCUAAAGAA